AAGGCCCUAGCUUAAUUAAAGCGUCUGAGUUGCAUUUAGAAGAUGCAGACUAGUGUCCUGCGGGUCUUA
RNAcentral lists this transfer RNA (69 nucleotides) under Caprimulgus indicus (Indian jungle nightjar). RNAcentral's name for it is "tRNA-Ala". It matches the Rfam family "tRNA". From Rfam's summary of the family: Transfer RNA (tRNA) molecules are approximately 80 nucleotides in length. Lineage: Eukaryota; Metazoa; Chordata; Aves; Caprimulgiformes; Caprimulgidae. RNAcentral also lists the same sequence under 1 other name. The record is from RNAcentral.